This 589-nucleotide ribosomal RNA is filed under the name Fusarium sacchari. RNAcentral's name for it is "eukaryotic LSU rRNA". It matches the Rfam family "Eukaryotic large subunit ribosomal RNA", at positions 1 to 600 of the family's 3401-position model. Lineage: Eukaryota; Fungi; Ascomycota; Sordariomycetes; Hypocreales; Nectriaceae. The record is from RNAcentral. RNAcentral also lists the same sequence under 1 other name.
UUGACCUCGGAUCAGGUAGGAAUACCCGCUGAACUUAAGCAUAUCAAUAAGCGGAGGAAAAGAAACCAACAGGGAUUGCCCUAGUAACGGCGAGUGAAGCGGCAACAGCUCAAAUUUGAAAUCUGGCUCUCGGGCCCGAGUUGUAAUUUGUAGAGGAUACUUUUGAUGCGGUGCCUUCCGAGUUCCCUGGAACGGGACGCCAUAGAGGGUGAGAGCCCCGUCUGGUUGGAUGCCAAAUCUCUGUAAAGUUCCUUCGACGAGUCGAGUAGUUUGGGAAUGCUGCUCUAAAUGGGAGGUAUAUGUCUUCUAAAGCUAAAUACCGGCCAGAGACCGAUAGCGCACAAGUAGAGUGAUCGAAAGAUGAAAAGCACUUUGAAAAGAGAGUUAAAAAGUACGUGAAAUUGUUGAAAGGGAAGCGUUUAUGACCAGACUUGGGCUUGGUUAAUCAUCUGGGGUUCUCCCCAGUGCACUUUUCCAGUCCAGGCCAGCAUCAGUUUUCCCCGGGGGAUAAAGACUUCGGGAAUGUGGCUCUCUUCGGGGAGUGUUAUAGCCCGUUGUGUAAUACCCUGGGGGGGACUGAGGUUCGCGC